UUAGGAAUCUUCCACAAUGGGCGAAAGCCUGAUGGAGCGACGCCGCGUGAGGGAUGAAGGCCUUAGGGUUGUAAACCUCUAAAAGAGGGACGAUAAUGACGGUACCUCUUGAAUAGCACCGGCUAACUCCGUGCCAGCAGCCGCGGUAAUACGGAGGGUGCAAGCGUUAUCCGGAAUCACUGGGCGUAAAGGGCGCGUAGGCGGUCUGUUAAGUCCGAUGUUAAAUCCCGGGGCUCAACCCCGGAUAAGCGUUGGAUACUGGCAGGCUAGACGGUUGGAGAGGCGAGUGGAAUUACCAGUGUAGCGGUGGAAUGCGUAGAUACUGGUAGGAACACCCAUUGCGAAGGCGGCUCGCUGGACAACACGUGACGCUGAGGCGCGAAAGUGUGGGGAGCAAACC
Molecule: ribosomal RNA, 400 nt
Filed under: uncultured bacterium
Lineage: Bacteria
Description: bacterial SSU rRNA
Rfam family: Bacterial small subunit ribosomal RNA
Source: RNAcentral